AGGACGAACGCUGGCGGCGUGCCUAACACAUGCAAGUGGAGCGACGAACCAGGCUUCGGCCUGGGGCAAAGCCGCGAACGGGUGAGUAACACGUGGGUAACCUGCCUCGAUGAUUGGGACAACCCGAGGAAACUCGGGCUAAUACCGAAUGUGCCCUCCGGCCAUAAGGCUGCUGGGAAAGGAAGCUUCGGCCUCCGCAUCGAGAUGGGCCCGCGGCCCAUUAGCUUGUUGGUGAGGUAACGGCUCACCAAGGCGACGAUGGGUAGCUGGUCUGAGAGGACGAUCAGCCACACUGGGACUGAGACACGGCCCAGACUCCUACGGGAGGCAGCAGUGGGGAAUUUUCGGCAAUGGGGGCAACCCUGACCGAGCAACGCCGCGUGCAGGACGAAGGUCUUCGGAUCGUAAACUGCUUUUCUGUGGGAAGAGGAACGGACGGUACCACAGGAAGAAGCCCCGGCUAACUACGUGCCAGCAGCCGC
This 482-nucleotide ribosomal RNA is filed under the name uncultured bacterium. RNAcentral's name for it is "SSU rRNA". It matches the Rfam family "Bacterial small subunit ribosomal RNA", at positions 26 to 518 of the family's 1533-position model. The record is from RNAcentral.